CGGGGCAUGGCGCAGAGGUAGCGCGCACGGUUCGGGACCGUGAGGUCGCAGGUUCAAAUCCUGUUGCCCCGACCA
This 75-nucleotide transfer RNA is filed under the name Thermoanaerobacterium thermosaccharolyticum. RNAcentral's name for it is "tRNA-Pro". It matches the Rfam family "tRNA". Rfam says of the family: Transfer RNA (tRNA) molecules are approximately 80 nucleotides in length. Their secondary structure includes four short double-helical elements and three loops (D, anti-codon, and T loops). The record is from RNAcentral. Lineage: Bacteria; Bacillati; Bacillota; Clostridia; Thermoanaerobacterales; Thermoanaerobacteraceae.